Molecule: long non-coding RNA, 5925 nt
Organism: Cavia porcellus (domestic guinea pig)
Lineage: Eukaryota; Metazoa; Chordata; Mammalia; Rodentia; Caviidae
Exons: 2
Source: RefSeq, a predicted model, not a curated record
GGCAAACCUAGUAGUGGGGUGGUGGACGUGGGAGGGUGACCCAGGAGGGAAAGGCCUGGUGAAACACAGGGGAGAAGGUCGCAGGGUGGUCAGUGGGGGCUUCCGAGGGCCGGGGAUAGGUCAGCGUGGGCCGCCUGACCACGCUGGAUGGCGUGAGCCGCUUGGAUGCCCAGAGGUGUAAGGUGAGGAGCUCCUCCGGGCUCUCCCCGGCCACCUUCUCGCUGUGUCCUCGCAGGACUUCUGCAGAGGGAUUUGGAGAGUCCUACAUGGUCCGGCUAGAUCAGACAUCCCUUGCAGGAGGGCUCUAAGCAAGAGAGGCACAGGGAAGAUAGCAGUGAUUUGUCACGGGACUGGAGUUUGGCUGUACUGACCGCCAGGCAUUUUGGGACAAGCUGUAGUAGGGCUUUAAACAGGAAGAGAUCUCCCACCACCAUGUGGAAAGCAGAUGUGUCACGGAGAAGUGGAACCCACUUGUGAGGAGUAAGAGAUUUCGGACUAAUCGCUUGCAUAAGUACCACGCUGCAAAAUGCAAUUCCACAGCUGUGUCAAGGGUGUGGGGCAGAGUCUGCUGGAUACAGGGAAGGAGGUUACAAACGACAGAGGUUAAAGCACGCUACUUCGGAGCACUGUUUUCUUCCUUCUCCACAUCAUGUGUUUAACUAUUUUAUUGAGAUUUAAAUCAUGGGGCCUAGGAAUAUAGCAGGGUAAGCCCCUGCCUGGCAGGUGCAAGUUCCUGAGUUCAAUCCCCAGUACCCCUCCCCUUAAAAGAUUUAAACCACGGACCAUAGAACUUACCCCCUGGAAAUGAACAGCUCAGUGGCUUUGAGGAGAUACACAGGGCUGUGGAAUCACAAUUGUAAUCCACUGUCAAAUGUUUUCAGCACCCCAAAUAAAAACCCUGCCUCCAUCAGCUGACCUCAGUCCCCAUGGGAGUCCCUCUUUUCCCCUGCCCUGAACAACCAACCGUUGCUGUAUGCCCCCCCCCCCGCCAGUUACACAUUCUUGACAUUUUAUAUAGAAGAAUUGGCCUCAUACAGUCUUUUGUAACUGACUGCUUUCAUUUAAUAUGAGGUUUUCAAGAUGUACCCAUGUUGCCGCAUGUCUCUUCAUUUCUUUUUAUUGCUCAAUAAUUCUGAGCCUUCUGCUUGGUGAAUUGGCCACAUAUGUUGAGAGAAACGAACACAGUCACUAGGAAGCAUCGGGUUUUAAAUGAACUCUAAAUUGCAUCACAAAGAAUGAUUGGAGAAACAGGAAGUAUUUAACAGAAUAAGCACAUAUCGGUCUGGCCACAAGGUAGUCUAUUUGGGGGGGGGGACACUGCUACUGCAAAUGAAACUUUACCUUGGUGUGAGGAAAAACGGUGUAUAUUUCCCAUGCAAGGAUACAGGAGACUGCACAUCCUCUGUGCUCUCCGAAUAUGAGUAUCUAGGCUGGAGGAGCUCAUGCUGGGCUUGGUCUAGAGAGGGUGAACCUCUAGGAUCUCUUCCAACCUGCAGCUCCUGGAUGCCUCAGAAGGCAAACAGCGCUGUGUCGGCACCGAGACAACGUGGAAACUCCUGCCUUCCAACACUUCUACUCACAGAAAUGAGCAAAAGCAGAGGCGGAGAGUCCGCUGAGGUCCCUGGCCUUGAUGUUUUCAUAGAUUUGUGUGAGGAUGAGGAGGGACAUGGAGGAAAGACACCAAGUCAGGAGAGCUGGGAGUGCGUGGAGAGAGAGGACAGAAAGGAGGGAGAGAGUGGCCAGAAGGGCAGCCUGAGACUGCGGCCAGUGUGGACUGUGGUCGUGACCUCUCCAUACUACGUUCAUUGUGGUUUUUCCCUUCAAAACGCGAGGAAGGAGUUCACGGGGGCAAGACAGGAAUAUUUAUGAGGCUGCAGGAGGCAGCGUGACGUUCGUGCUGUCACAUUCUGGGACAAACGUCCUAAGGCAAUACCAUUUUCACUAUCGAUGCACUGAGAUUCUAGACAGUAGAAACAAAGAGCGGUUGAGUUAGCACUAAGGGACCCUCCCACGAGCAGCACUGCAGGCAAGCAGGUCCCAGCGGUGUGGCACAGAUGUCCUGCGAAAGCCAUGGCACAGCAGGGCCACACCUUCUCAGGGGUGCCCGAGCCCCAAGAGGCUGCAGCUCCCGGAGAAGCACGUGGAAUUGGACAUUUUGUGUCCUGACAGAUGCUACACUAGAGGGAAUAUUCAGUCCUGGCCCUGUAGAAGGUCAAACAAACAUGGAGAAAACUGAGCAGCGAUACCAAGCGACAGGUAAGACUUCAAAUAAGUGUGAAUUUGAUGUCUCGAUCUGCGGAUGACUUUGGGAGACUUAAUUUCCUGACGAAUCAAGGACGGCUUCAAGCACUGUCCACGAGCCAGGGUGCAGGGAAGACUAGCGCCACAGAUAAAUAAAGCAAAGGAAAAAGGGAAAGAAGACAUCACGGGAUCCUGAAUACAUCAAGAGAGAACCAGAAAAAGAACUGGUGGGUAUGAUAUGGCAGGGUCAAGAAUCGAGGCCAGCCAUCAGGUGACUUUGGAGUUUUUCACCUACAUACCUGUCUCUGAAAGUCCUUUUAGCCUCCAGUUGCAAUAUCCCUAAGGAUACCUACGAGUGUGCUGAAUUAGAUCAUUCACGGGGCCCCAGUAAUUCCCAACUUCUAUGAGUCUAUCAUUUGAACAAAACAAGAUGGUCGAUCAAUAAAACAAAGCAUUUAAUAUAUUCUUAUGAGCUACAAGAAAGUCUUUCCACGGCUGUCCCCCAAAUUUGGGCACCAGGGACCUGUUAGGUAGAAGCCAGUUUUUUCGUGGACCAGAGGGCAAGGGGGUAGACUGGGGUUGAAUCAAAGGAGCUUGCAAUCUAGAUGCCUGGAGUGUGCGCUUCACAGUGGGGUUCAGGCGCCUGUGAGAAGCUGGGGCUCCAGGGGUGACGGCAGGCACCAGGCACAGUAAAUACAGGGGCAGCUUCGCUCACUGCCUGCUGCUCACCUCCGGCUGUGCAGCCCUAGUGCUGCGGGGACCCUGCCCCGCCACACAGGAGCAGGGAGGAAGGAGACCCAGAGCUGCAGAAGCCAAGUGCAGACUCGGAUGCUAGCAGACUGUGUGGUAGACACAUGGGCAGGCAGAUGGGGAGCUGGCUUCUGUCGCCGCUUGGUUUCUUCCCGAGCAUUCUGCAGGACAGGGAGAGGGAUUUCAUGGCACUGAGAAAGGACACGCUUUCCAGCCCUUCCCCCACCCUGCUCCUCUCACUCCUGCCAGCUCAUGGCCACCUUCUCUUCCACCCCAGGAGACCAUCGUCUGUUGGCCACUUGCCUUUUCCCCAUCCUUUGUGCCAUCCUGUGCUGGUUUCCCUCCUCUCCUGUGCUCCCCCUGUCUGGCAGGGUGCUCAUCCCGGGCACGGCCCCUCGAGGACCCUCCACAUUGACUCCCCUGGCACAGCCAUGAAGCCGCCCAGCCCGGCCCGUGUCUGCCUCUCUGCUCUGCUCACCUGGAGGAAAGCACAGCCGUCCAUCCACAAGCCACGCCACUGUAAGUCCAGGUCAAAACUUAAAUCAUUGUGGAUCUUUCCUUUCCCCCUAACACCUGUGUGUUUGAUUUGUGUUCCUCCAAAUAUACCCAUUCUAUUCAUCACACCCUCAUUCAAGGUGUCCAUGGAACACUGUCACAGCUGCUGUCUGCACCUUCCGCUAAACAGCCAUAGUCUAAAGAUACCUAGGUAUCUGUUCACUUUCCAUCCUCAUGGAAAGUUCUUCCAACAUCCCACAGGCUGUGCCCGGCUCCCCAUCAUCUCUUUCCUACCCAUAUCAUUUCCUGCCAUUCUUUUCCUUGUUCUGCUUGGUCAGCCUCGUGGACCUUUGGGCUCAUCCCUGCCCUGCCAAGCACACUGGGUAACAGCGUCUCCCUGCUUACGUUCCACCUGCCUAAGACACUAUUCAGCUAUGUGACUGACUUUCACCUUCAUUUCAUUCAAAUCUCAGCUCAAAAAUGUCACUUUGUCAGAGAGGUAUGUUCUCUAUCCACCCACACAUCACUCUUUAUUCUUUUACUAUGCCCUGUAAUUUCUAUAUAACACUUCUAAUAUAGUAUAUAUUUUUUGAUUCCCUGUCUUUUCUCGCUUGAAUAUAAACUCACAGCAGCAGAGACCUUGCCUGCUUUGUCCACUAUUUUGUGUCAAAUACCUAGAACAUUAGAAUCUAUAGCAAAUGAUUGGAAAGCAGGCACCGGACUGAGAGUGCAAAUGUAGCCUUCUAAAUCCAUAAACCCUGAAGACUUAUUGUGAGCCAGGAUCUGUUCCUAGCACUGAAUCGAGACCAUCAUGCUAAGUGAAAUAAAUUGAACCCACGAGCUUAACUGUCAUGUGGUUUAUCUUCUAUGAGAAAUGCAAAUUAUAAAUAAAGGGCAAAAUAUAAGAUAGAUAACAGUAAGGAGGAGAUAGAUCUUUCCACUGGAGGGGAAUCAAGAGAUGGAGUGGGGAUGGGAGAGGAAGGGAUGAAAAAUAGAAUUAAGAAGUGUUGUGUCCCUGAACCAGCUCUACAAGGAACACAAACACAUACUGAUGAUACAAAAAAAAAAAAAAAAAAAAAAAAAAAGAUGGAUUUCACUGAAGUGGAAUCGGCAGGAGUGAUAGGAGUGAUAGGAGGGAGACAAAUAAAUCUAUAAGUAGAUCAAUUAAAUGGGAUAAAAUAAAAAGAGUUUUAAGUGCGAGAAAGAUGAAAAACAGAAUGUUUCAUUAGAGAGUGCACCAGCCCAGGGCUUUUGAGAAGUAGAUUCCAGAAUGGAAUUAGAUGUGAUUCUGACUUGUUUGGGGAUGGGCUGUGAAGCACAGAGGAGAAGGUGUGCAAGAGUAGGUGGCCCAUCGAGGGGGAAAGAGGAAGGUUAGUAUGGGAAGAGCCUCAGUCAGCGGUGCCUCUCUGAGUGCAUCCCAGCCAGGCCCUCCCGGACCAGACCGCUGUGCAGUUGGGCUCCAGUGAGAAUUUGUCCUCCAAGCAGGCCUGCGAUGGGCAGAGAUGGAGAAAGUAGGCUGGUCUAGUAUCCCACCAGCUCAGUCUUAGGUUGGGGCAGCCAAGGAGUGAGCACCACAGUGGACUGAAGGGCCCAGCUGGUGACAAUCCACCAAGAAGGCUCCCUUAGACAGUGCUCUGAGCAACGCACUUGGCUGACAAGUGGGAGCUUGGACUUUUACAGUGGGAGGGUCAGUGGCGUUUUCCACAGAGAAAUGGAUGAUAAGAAAUUGGAUUUGGGAGCAAAGGUCCAAUCUCUUUUGUAAGCAGAAUAUAAUUGCAAAAUCCCUAGAGUAGAUGUGAGGUUAGUUUGCUGCAACAAUCCAAGUUCAUCUAAUACCAUACAGUAAUGAGAUGCAAAAGGGAGGACCUAGGAGAGGACAAGCUGCAGAAUAGGCAAGGGCCAGAUUUCUGUAGAGCUGGGUGGGCACAAUAGAGUGGAUUUAUCUUCAAGUCACUCUGCAUUUAUUCUCAAUGACACGUGUGCCAAUUUCCUCUGUAAUCUGGAGACACCGGAAGUGCCGCCAUGAUUUAAUAACCGAGGAGUGAUGCAGUUCCGGUACCUCGUGGACUCCGCAGUGCUGCUGGCUUUCUGCUUUCUGAGAUUAAAGACUAAGAAAAAUAGGAGAGAGAAGGCGAUGAAAGGUGGAGGGGACAGCUGGGCCUUUGGGGCCAAGAGGAGGACUGUGGCUAAAAUCCCAAGGGGAGAAACUGCUUUCUUCUCCAAUUCAUGAUAAAGCUUCCACUUGUCGCCUGAUGGGUGAUGAUAACAUUUUAUGUAUAUUUUUGUGAUUCCCAUCUGUCUUGUUUUUUCGUGAUUCUCAUGCUUCCUACUUAAAAAAAGAAAAGUCUAGGAAUAAGGACAUGUCUUCCCUCGUCCCAGUGUGUUUGACAAUGCCAAAAUUUCUGAAGUUCUAUUUUAAUAAAGGAUCAAAAGCCCUGG